GUGCCAGCAGCCGCGGUAAUACGGAGGAGGCAAGCGUUAUCCGGAAUUAUUGGGCGUAAAGCGUCCGUAGGUGGCUUUCUCAAGUCUGCGGUUAAAGACUGGGGCUUAACUCCAGAAAGGCCGUGGAAACUGAAAGGCUAGAGAGCCGUAGGGGUAGAGGGAAUUCCCGGUGUAGCGGUGAAAUGCGUAGAGCUCGGGAAGAACAUCGGUGGCGAAAGCGCUCUACUGGACGGUAUCUGACACUGAGGGACGAAAGCUAGGGGAGCGAAUGGGAUUAGAUACCCGAGUAGUCC
RNAcentral lists this ribosomal RNA (293 nucleotides) under uncultured bacterium. RNAcentral's name for it is "partial 16S ribosomal RNA". It matches the Rfam family "Bacterial small subunit ribosomal RNA", at positions 505 to 796 of the family's 1533-position model. The record is from RNAcentral.